UGUCAAAAAUUUGAUCUAUUUUUUUCCUGUUAAAAACUGGCGUGAUUGAUAAAAUAAUUAUACAGUUACACGUGGCAUAUCAUUUGUAUUUGUACUUCAUUCUAAUGUAUAGGGAUCAGUUUUUAACCGAAGAAAUAGAUUUAAUUUUCAAUG
This 153-nucleotide microRNA precursor is filed under the name Gossypium hirsutum (cotton). Its description in RNAcentral is "MIR7502 microRNA precursor family". It matches the Rfam family "MIR7502 microRNA precursor family". The record is from Rfam by way of RNAcentral. Lineage: Eukaryota; Viridiplantae; Streptophyta; Magnoliopsida; Malvales; Malvaceae.